GACGAACGGCUGGCGGCGUGGAUUAGGCAUGCAAGUCGAACGGUAACAGGUCUUCGGAUGCUGACGAGUGGCGAACGGGUGAGUAAUACAUCGGAACGUGCCCGAUCGUGGGGGAUAACGGAGCGAAAGCUUUGCUAAUACCGCAUACGAUCUACGGAUGAAAGCAGGGGACCGCAAGGCCUUGCGCGGACGGAGCGGCCGAUGGCAGAUUAGGUAGUUGGUGGGAUAAAAGCUUACCAAGCCGACGAUCUGUAGCUGGUCUGAGAGGACGACCAGCCACACUGGGACUGAGACACGGCCCAGACUCCUACGGGAGGCAGCAGUGGGGAAUUUUGGACAAUGGGCGCAAGCCUGAUCCAGCCAUGCCGCGUGCAGGAUGAAGGCCUUCGGGUUGUAAACUGCUUUUGUACGGAACGAAAAGACUCUUUCUAAUAAAGAGGGUCCAUGACGGUACCGUAAGAAUAAGCACCGGCUAACUACGUG
RNAcentral lists this ribosomal RNA (483 nucleotides) under uncultured bacterium. RNAcentral's name for it is "bacterial SSU rRNA". It matches the Rfam family "Bacterial small subunit ribosomal RNA", at positions 35 to 507 of the family's 1533-position model. The record is from RNAcentral.